RNAcentral lists this ribosomal RNA (539 nucleotides) under Geobacillus sp. W75. Its description in RNAcentral is "bacterial SSU rRNA". It matches the Rfam family "Bacterial small subunit ribosomal RNA", at positions 63 to 580 of the family's 1533-position model. The record is from RNAcentral. Lineage: Bacteria; Bacillati; Bacillota; Bacilli; Caryophanales; Anoxybacillaceae.
CGAGCGGACCGGAUUGGGGCUUGCCUUGAUUCGGUCAGCGGCGGACGGGUGAGUAACACGUGGGCAACCUGCCCGCAAGACCGGGAUAACUCCGGGAAACCGGAGCUAAUACCGGAUAACACCGAAGACCGCAUGGUCUUCGGUUGAAAGGCGGCCUUUGGGCUGUCACUUGCGGAUGGGCCCGCGGCGCAUUACCUAGUUGGUGAGGUAACGGCUCACCAAGGCGACGAUGCGUAGCCGGCCUGAUAGGGUGACCGGCCACACUGGGACUGAGACACGGCCCAGACUCCUACGGGAGGCAGCAGUACGGAAUCUUCCGCAAUGGGCGAAAGCCUGACGGAGCGACGCCGCGUGAGCGACGAAGGCCUUCGGGUCGUAAAGCUCUGUUGUGAGGGACGAAGGAGCGCCGUUCGAACAGGGCGGCGCGGUGACGGUACCUCUCGAGAAAGCCCCGGCUAACUACGUGCCAGCAGCCGCGGUAAUACGUAUGGGGCGAGCGUUGUCCGGAAUUAUUGGGCGUAAAGCGCGCGCCCGCGGUC